Molecule: long non-coding RNA, 203 nt
Filed under: Lathyrus oleraceus (garden pea)
Lineage: Eukaryota; Viridiplantae; Streptophyta; Magnoliopsida; Fabales; Fabaceae
Description: Pisum sativum (pea) long non-coding RNA (PSAT_LNC039571)
Source: RNAcentral
AUGUAAUUCAAUCAAAAUAAUAUAUAUUAAGUCAAAAUGUAAACCAUGCAUUGUUCACAAAAUACAAACUAAAAUAUAAAUGAUCAAAUUCAAAGGAAAAAUAAACUACUGGAUCCUCAUUUUCCUCCUGUACUGCAAGGCAUUUUGUGCCUAAACUAUCAUGGUCUCUACAAUGGGCCUCCCAGGAAUGUCUUUUAGAAAAU